Molecule: non-coding RNA, 4052 nt
Organism: Falco peregrinus (peregrine falcon)
Lineage: Eukaryota; Metazoa; Chordata; Aves; Falconiformes; Falconidae
Source: the annotation of a RefSeq genome assembly
GGCGGGGGGGCCUCGGCGUCGGGGCGGGCAGGGCCGGGCCCGCGCGUGGCUCCGCUGGGCUCCGCUGGGCUCCGCCGGCCCCGGCGCGGCAGGGCGGGAUGGCGGUCGGGCUGGGGCCGUGGCUGCUGGCCUUGGCCUGGGCCGCGGGGCCGGCAGCUGCUUAUCAGGGUGAUGAGAUCAAACCAGCAACAUCUGCAGUGUGGUGGCGAGAAGGAGGCUCGGGUACUUUGCGAUGCACUUACAGCUCCAAUGCCUCCUAUAUUUAUGUGGCCUGGUAUCGGCAGCGUCCUGGUGGACCCCUGCAGUACUUGCUGCAGAGCAAGGGCCGCGGAGGCUCCUACAGCCACACAGCCCCUUUUGCCCGCAAGAGGUUUUCCUGCCAGGCUGACAAGAACUCCGGCACCCUGGUCAUCACCGAGCUGGAGGUGGGGGACAGCGCGCUCUAUUACUGCACCCUUCAGGAACCACAGUGAGGGACGCUUGGGGCAUGCCUGAACAACAAUGCUUCCUCCCCCUCCUGCUCUCUCUUCCUGCAUGUUCAUGGGGGUCACAGCCCACCUCAGGGGUGAGUCGAUGAAUGGGCUGUGCCUGGGGUCAGAGGGUGGGGGGUCUGAUCGUGGCUAGGUGCUGUCAGUGGUCAGCACCUCCUAUAAGGAAACAGAACAGAACAGGAUAGGAUAGAAUAGAAUAGGACAGAGCAGAACAGGACAGGAUAGGAUAGAAUAGAAUAGAAUAGGACAGAGCAGGACAGGAUAGGAUAGGAGAGACUCUUUCAAUUGGAAGUCGUCUUCUAGUCCAGCUGCCUGACCAGUUCAGCAUGUUAUUAAGGGCGUUGCCUGAGUGCCUCUUAAACACCGAGAGACUUGGGGCAUUGACCAGCUCUCUAGGAAGCCUGUUGCAGUGUUUGGCCACCCUAGCAAUAAAGAAAUGCUUCCUAAUGUCCAGUCUAAACCUCCCCUGGCGCAGCUUUGAACGAUUCCCACGCGUUCUAUCGCUGGAUACCAGGGAGAAGAGAUCAGAACCUCCUUCUCUCCUUCCCCACCUCAGGAAGCUGUAGAGAGCAAUGAGGUUGCCCUUCAGCCUUCUUUUCCCCAAACUAGACAAACGCAAAGUUCUUAGCUGCUCCUUAUAUGACAUUACUUUCAUCCCUUAGGGUGGGAACCCUGAUGUGGGAAACGUGAGCAGAGCAGACAUGUGGUUCACCAUUGUCUUCUCCAUAGGCUGCAAAAGAAUCUCUGCUCUGGCCCCGGGACCACCUCCUCCCCCUCCUUGUUCACUGACCUUGGUGUCUGCAGGGGGGUUUAUCUCACAGUUUUUGUUCCUUUUUUUACCUUGUUGUAAAUAUGUUACCACAGAGGCACCAGCAGCUUAGCGGGUUGGCUUUGUCUUGGCCACCAGUGGGUCAUUUUGGAGCUGGCUGGAAUCAGCCAUGUCUGACAUGGGGGCAGCCCUGGUCUCCUAGCCCAGAGGCUGCCCAUGCAGCCCGCCCUGCUUCCAAAAUAUUGCUGCAUAAACCCUGUAGCGCCACAAGGUCACGCUGCUGGACACGUUCAACUCGGUGUCCUGAAGGAGCCUGACGGCUUUUGGGCCUUUCCAGUUGGACAACCCCCAGCACACACUGGUAUAUGGGUUUGUUCUUCCCCGGGUGCAGGACUUUGCGCUUUCCCUUGUGUUGUGGUUUAACCCCCAUAGGUAACUAAGUAUCACACAGCGCUCACUCUCUGCCUCCUCAGCAGGAGGGGGGACAGAAUUGGAAGUAUAAAAGAGAGCAAACUCGUAGGUUAAGAUCAAGGCAGUUCAGCAGGUGGAAAAAAAAAGCUGGGUGCACAAGCCAAGCCAAGUGAAGAAUGAAUUCCCUACUUGCAUUGGCAGGCAGGUGUUUAGCCGUUUCCAGGAAAGCAGGCCUCCCUCACGCACAGGGAUUGCUUGGGAAGGGAAAUGCCAUGACUCCAGAUGUCCCAAUUUCUCUCCUUCUUUCCUGGAGUUUUAUUGCUGAGCCCGAUGUCAUAUGGUAUUGAAUAGUCCUUUGUCAGUUGGCGUGAGCGUUCCUGGCUGUGUCCCAUCCCAGCUUAUCGCCCACCAUUAGCUUGCUCACUUGGGGCAGCAAGCAAAUCAGAAAAGGCCUUGAUGCUGUGUGAGCACUGGCCAGCAAGAGGUUAACCACCCCUGUGUCAUCAAUACUGUUUUGUUCAUAAAUACGAUACAUAGGACCGUACGAGCUCAUUUGAAGAAAACUAACUGUAUCCGAGCCAGAGCGAGCACACCUUGUUGGACUGCCUGAGGUUCCUCUCAGCCCGUUCCUCUCAGCCUGUCAAGGUCCCUCCGCAUGGCAGCACAAGCCUGUGGAGUAGCAGCCCCUCCUCCCAGUUUUGUUUCACCAAGUCGUGUGUUGGGGGUGCUCUUUAUUCCAUCCUCCAGACCACGGCUGAAGAUGAAGUGGGUCUGGGCGACCCCCGGUAUCAAUACAGACUGGGCAGAAAAUGGAUUGAGAGCAGCCCAGAGGAGAAGGACUUGGAGGUGCCGGUGGACGGAAAGCUCAGCAUGCCCCGCCAGUGUGCACUUGCAGCCCAGAAAGCCAGCUGAAUCUGGGGCUGCAUUAAAAGAAGCGUGUCCACCAAGUCGAGGGAGGUGAUUCUCCCCCAUCUGCCCUCGUGAGAUGCCCCGUGGAGUACUGUACUCAGGUCUGGAGCCCCCAACAUAAAAAGGACAUGGACCCGUUGGAGUGGGUCCAGAGGAGGGCCACAAAGAUGAUCAGAGGGCUGGAGCGCCUCUCCUAUGAGGAAAGGUUGUGUUGGCGUUGUUUAGCCUGGAGAAGAGAACGCACCGGGGAGACUUGAGUAUGAAGGCACAGACUCUGGUUGUGGUGCAACCAGAGACACUGUAUUGUGCAGAGAAGCUCGUAUUUACAUCUCUGAGCCUGGAUACAAAUUCCAGCUGUAUGUACCACCAGGCUCAGGACAGCAACCAUUCCUGCAGUUGCAUAGCUAUAUAUCACUAACAAGCAUGGAGACACCUUUUUGCUACUAGAUAACCGUGUUUAUCUUUCUUACUUCACAAUACCCAGCUGUUCUCUCAUCUCCUGCCAGGUCACACAUUCUUCAUCCUCCUCUCCCACACUGCAUUCUUUCAAAAUACAAAGAGAUCUUCUAAGAAAUAUGUGGAUGAUUUUUAAAUAGGGUCUGUAGCAACAGGACAAGGGGUGAUGGUUUUAAGCUAAGAGAGGGUAGAUCUAGAUUGGAUACUAGGAAGAAGCUCUGUACUAUGAAGGUGGUGAGACACUGGAACAAAAUGCAAAUGCCCCGUCCCUGGAAGCGUUCAAGGCCAGGUUGCAUGGGGCUUUGAUCAACCUGGUCUAGUGGAAGGGGCGUUUGGAGUUAGGUGGUCUUUAAGGUCACUUCCAACCCAAAGCAUUCGAUGAUUCUGAGUUAAACAGGACUGUACCCAGCACUGACCUCUGUGGUACACUGCUAGAUACUGGUGUCCAGCUAGACUUCACGCUACUGGUCAUCACACUUGGGAACUGGCUAUGUGUCCAGUGCUCGGUGUGGAAGAAAAAGAAGGCACCAAGAAACAGCAGGGAUGACGAGGGACUUGCGAGGGUGCAGUGACGGUGGAGAGGACGGAGCUCUGCGAUGCGUGAAGUAGGAGUACGGGGCAAGGGGGAAGGCGCAGGGAGUCUUUUCUCCACGUGUAUCUUGGUGGUCCCCGCGGGCAGGGGAAGGCCGUGUGGGCGGGGCGGGCUGGGGGUGCGGGGCACGGGGAGGGCGCUGCGAGGGGCCGCUGCGGGCCGGCGUGCCGUCCCUGGGGCUGGGGCGGGGGCUGAGGAGGGGUCUGGGUCCGGCCCCAGGCGCGGGCGGCCGAGGCGCCGACCCCGUUCGGCAGGGCCCGGAGGGCGCCGAGCCGGGAGGGCGCCGUGAGCCGCGGGCCGGGAGCGUUCGUGUGCCGGGGCCCCGCGCCCCUGCUGCUGUGCCCGGGGCCCUGCCCCGCAGCCCUCCCCGCGCCCCCCUUCUCCUGGGCGGCAGGGGCCGCGGGCGCGGGGGGCCGGGCCGGGC